GGGCCGUUAGCUCAGGCGGCAGAGCAACGCACUUUUAAUGCGUGGGUCGGCGGUUCGAAUCCGCCACGGCUCACCA
RNAcentral lists this transfer RNA (76 nucleotides) under Lentisphaerota bacterium. RNAcentral's name for it is "Lentisphaerae bacterium (hot springs metagenome) tRNA-Lys". It matches the Rfam family "tRNA". Rfam says of the family: Transfer RNA (tRNA) molecules are approximately 80 nucleotides in length. The record is from RNAcentral. Lineage: Bacteria; Pseudomonadati; Lentisphaerota.